RNAcentral lists this ribosomal RNA (992 nucleotides) under uncultured crenarchaeote. Its description in RNAcentral is "bacterial SSU rRNA". It matches the Rfam family "Archaeal small subunit ribosomal RNA", at positions 459 to 1451 of the family's 1478-position model. Lineage: Archaea; Thermoproteati; Thermoproteota. The record is from RNAcentral.
CAGCCGCCGCGGUAAUACCAGCACCUCAAGUGGUCAGGAUGAUUAUUGGGCCUAAAGCAUCCGUAGCCGGCUCUGUAAGUUUUCGGUUAAAUCUGUACGCUCAACGUACAGGCUGCCGGGAAUACUGCAGAGCUAGGGAGUGGGAGAGGUAGACGGUACUCGGAAGGAAGGGGUAAAAUCCUUUGAUCUUUUGAUGACCACCUGUGGCGAAGGCGGUCUACCAGAACACGUCCGACGGUGAGGGAUGAAAGCUGGGGGAGCAAACCGGAUUAGAUACCCGGGUAGUCCCAGCUGUAAACUAUGCAAACUCAGUGAUGCAUUGACUUGUGGUCAAUGCAGUGCUGCAGGGAAGCCGUUAAGUUUGCCGCCUGGGAAGUACGUACGCAAGUAUGAAACUUAAAGGAAUUGGCGGGGGAGCACCACAAGGGGUGAAGCCUGCGGUUCAAUUGGAGUCAACGCCAGAAAUCUUACCCGGAGAGACAGCAGAAUGAAGGUCAGGCUGAAGACUUUACCAGACAAGCUGAGAGGUGGUGCAUGGCCGUCGCCAGCUCGUGCCGUGAGAUGUCCUGUUAAGUCAGGUAACGAGCGAGAUCCCUGCCUCUAGUUGCCACCAUUACUCUCAGGAGUAGUGGGGCGAAUUAGCGGGACCGCCGCAGUUAAUGCGGAGGAAGGAAGGGGCCACGGCAGGUCAGUAUGCCCCGAAACUCUGGGGCCACACGCGGGCUGCAAUGGUAACGACAAUGGGUUUCAAAUCCGAAAGGAUGAGGUAAUCCUCAAACGUUACCACAGUUAUGACUGAGGGCUGCAACUCGCCCUCACGAAUAUGGAAUCCCUAGUAACUGCGUGUCAUUAUCGCGCGGUGAAUACGUCCCUGCUCCUUGCACACACCGCCCGUCGUUUCAUUGAAGUGAGCUCUUAGCGAGGUGACGUCUGAUUGGCGUUAUCGAACUUGGGGUUCGUGACAAGGGAAAAGUCGUAACAAGGUAACCGUA